This 383-nucleotide ribosomal RNA is filed under the name uncultured bacterium. Its description in RNAcentral is "bacterial SSU rRNA". It matches the Rfam family "Bacterial small subunit ribosomal RNA", at positions 30 to 413 of the family's 1533-position model. The record is from RNAcentral.
AUUGAACGCUGGCGGCAUGCCUUACACAUGCAAGUCGAACGGCAGCACGGGAGCAAUCCUGGUGGCGAGUGGCGAACGGGUGAGUAAUGUAUCGGAACGUACCUUUCAGUGGGGGAUAACGUAGCGAAAGUUACGCUAACACCGCAUAUUCUGUGAGCAGGAAAGCAGGGGAUCGCAAGACCUUGCGCUGAUUGAGCGGCCGAUAUCAGAUUAGCUAGUUGGUGAGGUAAAGGCUCACCAAGGCGACGAUCUGUAGCGGGUCUGAGAGGAUGAUCCGCCACACUGGAACUGAGACACGGUCCAGACUCCUACGGGAGGCAGCAGUGGGGAAUUUUGGACAAUGGGGGCAACCCUGAUCCAGCCAUGCCGCGUGAGUGAGAAGG